GUUAAGCGACUAAGCGUACACGGUGGAUGCCCUGGCAGUCAGAGGCGAUGAAGGGCGUGCUAAUCUGCGAUAAGCGCCGGUAAGGUGAUAUGAACCGUUAUAACCGGCGAUACCCGAAUGGGGAAACCCAGUGUGACUCGUCACACUAUCAUUAACUGAAUCCAUAGGUUAAUGAGGCGAACCGGGGGAACUGAAACAUCUAAGUACCCCGAGGAAAAGAAAUCAACCGAGAUUCCCCCAGUAGCGGCGAGCGAACGGGGAGGAGCCCAGAGCCUGAAUCAGCAUGUGUGUUAGUGGAAGCGUCUGGAAAGGCGCGCGAUACAGGGUGACAGCCCCGUACACAAAAGCGCAUGUGCUGUGAGCUCGAUGAGUAGGGCGGGACACGUGGUAUCCUGUCUGAAUAUGGGGGGACCAUCCUCCAAGGCUAAAUACUCCUGACUGACCGAUAGUGAACCAGUACCGUGAGGGAAAGGCGAAAAGAACCCCGGCGAGGGGAGUGAAAAAGAACCUGAAACCGUGUACGUACAAGCAGUGGGAGCACAGGUUUACCUGUGUGACUGCGUACCUUUUGUAUAAUGGGUCAGCGACUUAUAUUCUGUAGCAAGGUUAACCGAAUAGGGGAGCCGCAGGGAAACCGAGUCUUAACCGGGCGUUAAGUUGCAGGGUAUAGACCCGAAACCCGGUGAUCUAGCCAUGGGCAGGUUGAAGGUUGGGUAACACUAACUGGAGGACCGAACCGACUAAUGUUGAAAAAUUAGCGGAUGACCUGUGGCUGGGGGUGAAAGGCCAAUCAAACCGGGAGAUAGCUGGUUCUCCCCGAAAGCUAUUUAGGUAGCGCCUCGUGAAUUCAUCUCCGGGGGUAGAGCACUGUUUCGGCUAGGGGGCCAUCCCGGCUUACCAACCCGAUGCAAACUGCGAAUACCGGAGAAUGUUAUCACGGGAGACACACGGCGGGUGCUAACGUCCGUCGUGAAGAGGGAAACAACCCAGACCGCCAGCUAAGGUCCCAAAGUCAUGGUUAAGUGGGAAACGAUGUGGGAAGGCCCAGACAGCCAGGAUGUUGGCUUAGAAGCAGCCAUCAUUUAAAGAAAGCGUAAUAGCUCACUGGUCGAGUCGGCCUGCGCGGAAGAUGUAACGGGGCUAAACCAUGCACCGAAGCUGCGGCAG
Molecule: ribosomal RNA, 1167 nt
Filed under: Salmonella enterica
Lineage: Bacteria; Pseudomonadati; Pseudomonadota; Gammaproteobacteria; Enterobacterales; Enterobacteriaceae
Description: partial 23S ribosomal RNA
Rfam family: Bacterial large subunit ribosomal RNA
Source: RNAcentral